This 184-nucleotide unclassified non-coding RNA is filed under the name uncultured fungus. RNAcentral's name for it is "sequence contains ITS1". The record is from RNAcentral. Lineage: Eukaryota; Fungi.
UUUUUUUGUUAUAUUUUUGUUACAUUCUUUACUUGGUGUUUAAAGUGAGCCGCAGAAGCUUUCGAACCUAGAAGAUUCUUCCGCUUCCGCCAAAUAGUGCACAGAGUUAGAAAGUGGAGGUCGCGCUCUCCGAAGAAAUACGCUAAAUUCACUAAUGAUCCUUCCGCAGGUUCACCUACGGAAA